AGAGUGUAGCAGUGAGGACGACGAGAGGUCACUCUCGUCGCCAUUUUGUUUUUGGUGGUUUUUGUCUGGCUUCUUUACCGCAACCUGUUUUAUCAGCAAAGUCUUUAUAACCUGUAUUUUGUGCUGACCUCCUAUCUCAUCCUGUGACUUAGAAUGCCUUAACAACUGUCUGGAAUGCAGCCCGCUAUAUGCAGAUAUUCCAGCAGAGGAUCCUGAUACCAAAACGGAUUGCAGAGCCACAGGUUGAAAAUAGCAGAGACUCCAUGGUUCCCUCAAUGAUUGCAUGGAACAAUAACACAUGAUCCCUGUGAUGAUAUUUCAUGAUUCUGAAGAAGAAUUGGAGGUGAGACUUGAGAAAAUGGAGAAAAAGAUAUGCUUUGGAUUUUCUUGAAGACUAGAAGCUUUCUUAACCAUCCACCACCUUGUUGACUGGUUAUUAUUCUCUCUACCUUCUGUGAAACAAACUGAUGGAUACUAAUGGCACAAUUACACUUAUAGCUAGUCAGUUGCAUAGUUUAUGCACAUAGUUCUGCUUCCAGUGUUUAGUAAUGAGUUAAACAUUUUGGCUAUAUUUGUCUCUGAAGCUAUAAUUUCAAUUAAUCAUUAUGUAUAGCAAUAAUAACAAGUAAAACAAAAAGAAGAAUUUUUUGUUUCUAUGGUAAUUAUGUUGGGUGCUUUGGAUCCUCCCAAUAAAGUUGACUUCCUAAAAUAAUUACACUUGAAUUAGGUAUAGAGAAGCUAAUUGUAACAAAUUGAAAGUUACUGUAAAUCUUCUAAUCGUAGUUCUCUGCAAGUGUACUUAAGUUAUUGCUCCACUUGAAAUAAAUGAAAACUGGAAAUCUGAGGUGAUGAAUUAUGGGUCCCUUUUAUGUAAGAAAGAUGACAAGGAAAUCUAAUCUGCUGAGUUAUACUAAAAUAAAAUACCUUGGCCUGGGAUCAAAUAUAGGUGAAAGAAUUAACAUUUAUGUUUUUUAAUUAAGAUAAAAUGUACAAGUUUUAUGUACAUAUUUUAUGAUUUCCUGAUAUAACAAAAAGUGUUGAUAAAAGCACCCAAUACUGAUUCUAAUGACAUUUGAUUAGCAUUAAAGAGUUGCUAUUAUU
This 1101-nucleotide long non-coding RNA is filed under the name Homo sapiens (human). RNAcentral's name for it is "long intergenic non-protein coding RNA 348". Lineage: Eukaryota; Metazoa; Chordata; Mammalia; Primates; Hominidae. The record is from RNAcentral.